This 439-nucleotide ribosomal RNA is filed under the name Stenotrophomonas maltophilia. RNAcentral describes it as "bacterial SSU rRNA". It matches the Rfam family "Bacterial small subunit ribosomal RNA", at positions 86 to 519 of the family's 1533-position model. Lineage: Bacteria; Pseudomonadati; Pseudomonadota; Gammaproteobacteria; Lysobacterales; Lysobacteraceae. The record is from RNAcentral.
GGGUGGCGAGUGGCGGACGGGUGAGGAAUACAUCGGAAUCUACUCUGUCGUGGGGGAUAACGUAGGGAAACUUACGCUAAUACCGCAUACGACCUACGGGUGAAAGCAGGGGAUCUUCGGACCUUGCGCGAUUGAAUGAGCCGAUGUCGGAUUAGCUAGGUUGGGGGGGGUAAAGGCCCACCAGGGCGACAAUCCGUAGCUGGUCUGAGAGGAUGAUCAGCCACACUGGAACUGAGACACGGUCCAGACUCCUACGGGAGGCAGCAGUGGGGAAUAUUGGACAAUGGGCGCAAGCCUGAUCCAGCCAUACCGCGUGGGUGAAGAAGGCCUUCGGGUUGUAAAGCCCUUUUGUUGGGAAAGAAAUCCAGCUGGCUAAUACCCGGUUGGGAUGACGGUACCCAAAGAAUAAGCACCGGCUAACUUCGUGCCAGCAGCCGCG